UACAGAGGGUGCAAGCGUUUAAUCGGAAUUACUGGGCGUAAAGCGUGCGUAGACGGUAGCGUAAGUCGGGUGUGAAAGCCCCGGGCUCAACCUGGGAAUUGCAUUCGAGACUGCUCUGCUAGGGUGCGGAAGAGGGAAGCGGAAUUUCCGGUGUAGCGGUGAAAUGACGUAGAUAUCGGAAGGAACACCAGUGGCGAAAGCGGCUUCCUGGUCCAGCACCGACGUCAGGCACGAAAGCGUGGGGAGCAAACAGG
RNAcentral lists this ribosomal RNA (254 nucleotides) under uncultured bacterium. RNAcentral describes it as "partial 16S ribosomal RNA". It matches the Rfam family "Bacterial small subunit ribosomal RNA", at positions 524 to 776 of the family's 1533-position model. The record is from RNAcentral.